GAGGAGGUGGAAGGAGCCGUGGGCAUCCUCACCAACCCUGCAGGUUCCCGGCCCUGUUCCCUGAGUCCCCCUGCUGGCUGCUGGCCACAGGUCAGGUAGCUCAAGCCAGGAAGGUCCUGUGGCGCUUUGCAGAAGCCAGCGGCGUGGACCCCGAGGACAGUUCCUUGGAGGAGAACUCCCUGGCUACAGAGCUGGCCAUGCUGUCUGCAGGGAGCCCCCAGCCCCGGUACCACAGCCUCCUGGGGCUCCUGCGCACCCGAGUCACCUGGAGAAACGGGCUUAUCUUGGGCUUCAGCUCGCUGGUUGGUGGAGGCAUCAGAGCUAACUUCCGCCGCAGCCUGGCACCUCAGGUGCCGGCCUUCUACCUGCCCUACUUUCUGGAGGCCGGCCUGGAGGCGGCAGCCUUGGUCUUCCUACUCCUGACGGCAGAUCGCUGUGGACGCCGCCUCGUCCUGCUGCUGGGCACCAUGGCCACAGGCCUGGCAUCCCUGCUGCUCCUCGCUGGGGCCCAGUAUCUGCCAGGCUGGACUGUGCUGUUCCUCUCUGUCCUGGGGCUCCUGGCCUCCCGGGCUGUGUCUGCACUCAGCAGCCUCUUUGCGGCCGAGGUCUUCCCCACCGUGAUCAGUGCUGGGGGCCGGGUUCCUGGGCCAGGCAGCCAGCCCCCUGGACACCCUGCAUGGCCGGCGGGGCUUCUUCCUGCAACAAGUCGUCUUCGCCUCCCUUGCUGUCCUUACCCUGCUGUGUGUCCUGCUGCUGCCUG
This 760-nucleotide small RNA is filed under the name Pongo abelii (Sumatran orangutan). Its description in RNAcentral is "retained intron". The record is from RNAcentral. Lineage: Eukaryota; Metazoa; Chordata; Mammalia; Primates; Hominidae.